RNAcentral lists this transfer RNA (102 nucleotides) under Cercophora newfieldiana. Its description in RNAcentral is "tRNA-Pro". It matches the Rfam family "tRNA". From Rfam's summary of the family: Transfer RNA (tRNA) molecules are approximately 80 nucleotides in length. Their secondary structure includes four short double-helical elements and three loops (D, anti-codon, and T loops). Lineage: Eukaryota; Fungi; Ascomycota; Sordariomycetes; Sordariales; Lasiosphaeriaceae. The record is from RNAcentral.
GGCUCUGUGGUCUAGUGGUAUGAUUCGUGCUUCGGGAAUUCCUUCCCCUGCUUGGGAAACAAGUACUGUGCGAGGUCUCGGGUUCGAUCCCCGACAGAGCCC